GCAUUGGUGGUUCAGUGGUAGCAUUCUUGCCUCCCACGCGGGAGACCCGGGUCCGAUUCCCGGCCAAUGCA
Molecule: transfer RNA, 71 nt
Filed under: Danio rerio (zebrafish)
Lineage: Eukaryota; Metazoa; Chordata; Actinopteri; Cypriniformes; Danionidae
Rfam family: tRNA
About the family: Transfer RNA (tRNA) molecules are approximately 80 nucleotides in length. Their secondary structure includes four short double-helical elements and three loops (D, anti-codon, and T loops).
Source: Rfam by way of RNAcentral